AGGCUUGGAUCAGUCCAUGACUCACACGGACGAUCGUCCUGACACCUAAGUGGUGUGCAAGAUGAGACAGCUUACACCUGGACCGGUGUAAGUGCCUUGAUAAAUGAGGAGUAUUCAAGGAGAUUAUUAUUGCCUUAGUAAGGCUAAGAUGAGACUUCUUAAGAAAUCAACUAUAGAUCUAUCUCAAUCCAUAGUAAGCCUAUUGGAAGCCGGAUGUGGGCACUCAUAAGUUGAGUAGCUCAGGUUAGUACUUUAAUGAUGACUAGUGUUG
RNAcentral lists this long non-coding RNA (271 nucleotides) under Elaeis guineensis (African oil palm). RNAcentral's name for it is "long non-coding RNA (EGUI_LNC004251)". Lineage: Eukaryota; Viridiplantae; Streptophyta; Magnoliopsida; Arecales; Arecaceae. The record is from RNAcentral.